This 492-nucleotide ribosomal RNA is filed under the name uncultured bacterium. Its description in RNAcentral is "partial 16S ribosomal RNA". It matches the Rfam family "Bacterial small subunit ribosomal RNA", at positions 29 to 507 of the family's 1533-position model. The record is from RNAcentral.
AGUGAACGCUGGCGGCAGGCCUAACACAUGCAAGUCGAACGGCAGCACAGUAAGAGCUUGCUCUUACGGGUGGCGAGUGGCGGACGGGUGAGGAAUACAUCGGAAUCUACUUUUUCGUGGGGGAUAACGUAGGGAAACUUACGCUAAUACCGCAUACGACCUACGGGUGAAAGCAGGGGAUCUUCGGACCUUGCGCGAUUGAAUGAGCCGAUGUCGGAUUAGCUAGUUGGCGGGGUAAAGGCCCACCAAGGCGACGAUCCGUAGCUGGUCUGAGAGGAUGAUCAGCCACACUGGAACUGAGACACGGCCCAGACUCCUACGGGAGGCAGCAGUGGGGAAUAUUGGACAAUGGGCGCAAGCCUGAUCCAGCCAUACCGCGUGGGUGAAGAAGGCCUUCGGGUUGUAAAGCCCUUUUGUUGGGAAAGAAAAGCAGCAGGUUAAUACCCCGCUGUUCUGACGGUACCCAAAGAAUAAGCACCGGCUAACUUCGUG